Molecule: ribosomal RNA, 1025 nt
Filed under: uncultured bacterium
Lineage: Bacteria
Description: bacterial SSU rRNA
Rfam family: Bacterial small subunit ribosomal RNA
Source: RNAcentral
UGGGGAAUCUUCCGCAAUGGACGAAAGUCUGACGGAGCAACGCCGCGUGAGUGAUGACGGCCUUCGGGUUGUAAAGCUCUGUGAUCGGGGACGAAUGGCUGGUAUGCUAAUACCAUAUCAGAGUGACGGUACCCGAAUAGCAAGCCACGGCUAACUACGUGCCAGCAGCCGCGGUAAUACGUAGGGAGCAAGCGUUGUCCGGAUUUACUGGGUGUAAAGGGUGCGUAGGCGGCUUUGCAAGUCAGAUGUGAAAUCUAUGGGCUCAACCCAUAAACUGCAUUUGAAACUGUAGAGCUUGAGUGAAGUAGAGGCAGGCGGAAUUCCCCGUGUAGCGGUGAAAUGCGUAGAGAUGGGGAGGAACACCAGUGGCGAAGGCGGCCUGCUGGGCUUUAACUGACGCUGAGGCACGAAAGCGUGGGUAGCAAACAGGAUUAGAUACCCUGGUAGUCCACGCUGUAAACGAUGAUUACUAGGUGUGGGGGGUCUGACCCCUUCCGUGCCGGAGUUAACACAAUAAGUAAUCCACCUGGGGAGUACGGCCGCAAGGUUGAAACUCAAAGGAAUUGACGGGGGCCCGCACAAGCAGUGGAGUAUGUGGUUUAAUUCGAAGCAACGCGAAGAACCUUACCAGGUCUUGACAUCCUACUAACGAGAUAGAGAUAUGUUAGGUGCCCUUCGGGGAAAGUAGAGACAGGUGGUGCAUGGUUGUCGUCAGCUCGUGUCGUGAGAUGUUGGGUUAAGUCCCGCAACGAGCGCAACCCUUGCUAUUAGUUGCUACGCAAGAGCACUCUAAUAGGACUGCCGUUGACAAAACGGAGGAAGAUGGGGACGACGUCAAAUCAUCAUGCCCCUUAUGACCUGGGCUACACACGUACUACAAUGGACAUCAACAGAGGGAAGCAAUACAGUGAUGUGGAGCAAACCCCUAAAAAUGUUCUCAGUUCAGAUUGCAGGCUGCAACCCGCCUGUAUGAAGAUGGAAUUGCUAGUAAUCGCAGAUCAGCAUGCUGCGGUGAAUACGUUCCC